GACGGGUCAUUCAAAUUUCUGCCCUAUCAACUUUCGAUGGUAAGGUAUUGGCUUACCAUGGUUUCAACGGGUAACGGGGAAUUAGGGUUCGAUUCCGGAGAGGGAGCCUGAGAAACGGCUACCACAUCCAAGGAAGGCAGCAGGCGCGCAAAUUACCCAAUCCCGACACGGGGAGGUAGUGACAAUAAAUACUGAUACAGGGCUCUUUUGGGUCUUGUAAUCGGAAUGAGUACAAUUUAAACCCCUUAACGAGGAACAAUUGGAGGGCAAGUCUGGUGCCAGCAGCCGCGGUAAUUCCAGCUCCAAUAGCGUAUAUUAAAGUUGUUGCAGUUAAAAAGCUCGUAGUUGAACCUUGGGCCUGGCUGGCCGGUCCGCCUCACCGCGUGUACUGGUCCGGCCGGGCCUUUCCUUCUGGAGAGCCGCAUGCCCUUCACUGGGUGUGCCGGGGAACCAGGACUUUUACUUUGAAAAAAUUAGAGUGUUCAAAGCAGGCCUUUGCUCGAAUACGUUAGCAUGGAAUAAUAGAAUAGGACGUGCGGUCCUAUUUUGUUGGUUUCUAGGACCGCCGUAAUGAUUAAUAGGGAUAGUCGGGGGCAUCAGUAUUCAAUUGUCAGAGGUGAAAUUCUUGGAUUUAUUGAAGACUAACUACUGCGAAAGCAUUUGCCAAGGAUGUUUUCAUUAAUCAGUGAACGAAAGUUAGGGGAUCGAAGACGAUCAGAUACCGUCGUAGUCUUAACCGUAAACUAUGCCGACUAGGGAUCGGGCGAUGUUUCUAUCUUGACUCGCUCGGCACCUUACGAGAAAUCAAAG
This 810-nucleotide ribosomal RNA is filed under the name Tetraploa yakushimensis. RNAcentral's name for it is "SSU rRNA". It matches the Rfam family "Eukaryotic small subunit ribosomal RNA", at positions 289 to 1103 of the family's 1831-position model. The record is from RNAcentral. Lineage: Eukaryota; Fungi; Ascomycota; Dothideomycetes; Pleosporales; Tetraplosphaeriaceae.